RNAcentral lists this ribosomal RNA (253 nucleotides) under uncultured bacterium. RNAcentral describes it as "partial 16S ribosomal RNA". It matches the Rfam family "Bacterial small subunit ribosomal RNA", at positions 524 to 776 of the family's 1533-position model. The record is from RNAcentral.
UACGGGGGGAGCAAGCGUUGUUCGGAUUUACUGGGCGUAAAGGGUGCGUAGGCGGGUCUUUAAGUCAGGGGUGAAAUCCUGGAGCUCAACUCCAGAACUGCCUUUGAUACUGAAGAUCUUGAGUUCGGGAGAGGUGAGUGGAACUGCGAGUGUAGAGGUGAAAUUCGUAGAUAUUCGCAAGAACACCAGUGGCGAAGGCGGCUCACUGGCCCGAUACUGACGCUGAUGCACGAAAGCGUGGGGAGCAAACAGG